GCUUAGGUAGUCAAGUGGACAACGACAGCAGGCUGUUAACCUGCCCCGAAAGGUUCAUAGGUUCGAAUCCUAUCCUAAGCG
Molecule: transfer RNA, 81 nt
Filed under: Crassvirales sp.
Lineage: Duplodnaviria; Heunggongvirae; Uroviricota; Caudoviricetes; Crassvirales
Description: tRNA-Asn
Rfam family: tRNA
About the family: Transfer RNA (tRNA) molecules are approximately 80 nucleotides in length. Their secondary structure includes four short double-helical elements and three loops (D, anti-codon, and T loops).
Source: RNAcentral